Molecule: ribosomal RNA, 464 nt
Filed under: uncultured bacterium
Lineage: Bacteria
Description: partial 16S ribosomal RNA
Rfam family: Bacterial small subunit ribosomal RNA
Source: RNAcentral
GACGAACGCUGGCGGCGUGCUUAACACAUGCAAGUCGAACGGAAAGGCCCCUUUGGGGGUACUCGAGUGGCGAACGGGUGAGUAACACGUGAGUAACCUGCCCUUGACUUCGGGAUAACUUCAGGAAACUGGGGCUAAUACCGGAUAGGAAUCCUUGCUGCAUGGUGGGGGUUGGAAAGCUUCGGCGGUUUUGGAUGGACUCGCGGCUUAUCAGCUUGUUGGUGGGGUAGUGGCUUACCAAGGCUUUGACGGGUAGCCGGCCUGAGAGGGCGACCGGCCACAUUGGGAUUGGGGUACGCCCCAGACUCCCACGGGGGGCAACGGGGGGGAAUUUUGCAAAAGGGGGGGAAGCCUUGUGCAGAAACCCCGCGUGCGGGAUGACGGCCUUCGGGUUGUAAACCGCUUUCAGCGGGGGGGAAGCUUGUGGUGACUGUACCUGCAAAAGAAGCACCGGCAAACCACGU